GGAAAAUUUUAUAGACUUAUAGCAAUACUUUUGUCAAAGACAACCAAUCUUGCUCUCUUGUUACAACAGGAAAAGUUUUACAGGAAGAAGAAUUUUACAACGCUAGGAGCUUCUUUUAGGUUUUUUUGGAAGAAGAAUUUUACAGGAAAAGUUUUGUAUCCGACCAUUACAAAUGGCUUCCAUUGGUAGCUUCGUGCCAAAGAACUUGCUAAAAGUUCUCAGCUCCGCUCCUCAUCGGAUUCCAAGUAUUGUUAUAAGAUGUGCUUCUACAUCGCAAGGAGGACCAAGCAGGCCCCCGAUUCAAACCAACCCUCCACAAAAUAACGCGGCAACGGAUUCAACCGAUGAGAAAAUGGAUGCCAAUGCCAGAGGGCCAUAUUCACCAAUUAUAUAUGAGGGCUAUUGAAGGCAGCAGAGUUGAUGAUCAAGGCCAUUCUUAUAUAUUAGUCGCCCAUGAAAUCUAAAGUUGAAAUAGGAAUAGAAGAAGUUAAAGAUGAUGAUCCAUGCAUUGACUAGUGAAUAGAAUUCUUUGUGGCUUUUGUUAGUCUCUGAAAUUAAGGUUUAUCUUUACUUGAACUCUUUCUUCUUCCCCAUUCACCUUCUGUAAUGCAGUCCAGGAUUCCAAAAUGCAAUAUAUAUAUUGGUCCUCUACAAUUUGGUCAA
Molecule: long non-coding RNA, 663 nt
Organism: Coffea arabica (coffee)
Lineage: Eukaryota; Viridiplantae; Streptophyta; Magnoliopsida; Gentianales; Rubiaceae
Source: RefSeq, a predicted model, not a curated record